CGCGUAGGCGGUCUCUUAAGUCAGGUGUGAAAGCCCGGGCUCAACCCCGGAAGUGCAUUUGAAACUAAGGGACUUGAGUAUGGGAGAGGGAAGUGGAAUUCCUGGUGUAGCGGUGAAACGCGUAGAUAUCAGGAGGAACACCGGUGGCGAAGGCGACUUCCUGGACCAAUACUGACGCUGAGGCGCGAAGGCGUGGGUAGCAAACA
This 206-nucleotide ribosomal RNA is filed under the name uncultured bacterium. RNAcentral's name for it is "partial 16S ribosomal RNA". It matches the Rfam family "Bacterial small subunit ribosomal RNA", at positions 568 to 774 of the family's 1533-position model. The record is from RNAcentral.